This 269-nucleotide ribosomal RNA is filed under the name uncultured archaeon. Its description in RNAcentral is "partial 16S ribosomal RNA". It matches the Rfam family "Archaeal small subunit ribosomal RNA", at positions 478 to 747 of the family's 1478-position model. The record is from RNAcentral.
AGCUCCCUGAGUGGUAGGGAUGAUUAUUUGGCCUAAAACGUUCGUAGCCGGCUUAGCAAGUCUUCCGUUAAAUCCAGCGACUCAAUCGUUGGUCUGCGGAGGAUACUACUAGGCUAGAGGACGGGAGAGGUUGACGGUAUUCCCAGUGUAGGGGUGAAAUCCAAUAAUCCUGGGAGGACCACCAGUGGCGAAGGCGGUCAACGAGAACGUGCCUGACGGUGAUGGACGAAAGCUGGGGGAGCGAACCGGAUUAGAUACCCGUGUAGUCC